UACAUUGGCUAUGUAACUCAGUGGUAAAUGUAUUUUCCCUCUUUUUCAAACAACAGACACUAUAUAACAAAGUAAUUUAUGGGCUUUUACACAGUUGCAUUUGAAACAAUAUCUGAGGAUAACUUGUUCGCAUAUUAUGUUGCUAGUCUCUUGGAACUGUUGCAGAAGAGCUAUUUUGCUAGUGGACCUGGACCGGACAUUGCCAUGUGCUAUUUGUAGGACACUACAUUUUCUUUCUUUCUUUCUUUCUUUCUUUCUUUCUUUGCAUUGUAUUAAAAGCAUUACGUUGGGAAUUGUGGUAACUGAGUCAUUCAGUAACAAGAAGAGCCAAACUGAACAUGCAUUUAAUUGUGUGGAUGGAAUUAUGAUGUACACAUUUUGUUAUGCAAAUAGCAAUCAAAGCCUUGUCAGGUUUGGAGGACUGGACAUUUUAAUCCUUUCUUAGAGAUCCCAGCAUUGUUUUUAAGGUGAACAGACUCAACAUUGACAGGGACGUUUUAUUAAUCUUGAUUAUUUGCAGGCAUGUUUUUAGAAAACAAUUAAAACAAAGGCUACAUUGCAUUGAAAUCAUUAUCAGUAGCUGGUAACAAUAUGAGUAUCAUGAAAGUAGUAUCAAACUAGAACCCCAUGCUAGUUCAGUCACAGAAGUAGUUGUGAAGAAAUCUACUUUAGGUCCUGAAGGUGAACUUUUAUAAUAUAGGCAUAGCCUUUUGCAGGGGUUUGAAGGUGUACAGUUGGCUUUUGGUAUCCACAGAUUCUGCACCCACAGAUUCCACCAUCUGUAAAAUGUCAAACCUUGAUUUUGGCAUUUUAAAUAAGGAACACCAUUUUACUACACCAUUGUAUAUAAUGGAAUUUGAGCAUCCACAAAUUUUGGCAUCUAUGGGCAGUGUGUGUGUGUGUGUGUUCUGAAAUCAAGUCCCAAUAGAUACCAAGGGCUUGCUAUAUAUGUAUUGUAGGAUUCUAGAAACCAUUCCAAAUCACACAACUUCAGCUGGGAAGACGUACCUACUUUGAAUAAAGUUUCAGGAGUAAUGUACAUAGAUCCAUCUGCAUCAGGCUUCUCCUUCAGCAUAAACUGGUAGCAACCAUUCCAUCAGAUGCAACAACAAGAAGAGGGAAGAUAAGCCAUUGCUCCAGCUAUGAAGGAAUGGUAACUCCAUUGGAAUUCCUUUUUCAGCUGUCAUCUGGAAACUACCAUUCUAUCAGCUACAGCACCAUUUCUGUUUGAUUCUUCUCCUUCCUGAAUUGUUUUCAUUUCAAGGGUCAUUAGAAGACUUGCUAUGUAAUUUCUGGGAUUAGUUUGGGCAUAUCCCUCCCCAUCUAACCAUCUCAUCUCUUUUUUUGUUAUAUCUUUCGGGGGCACAUUUUUAAAUUGAUUGUGUUCAAAUAUAGCAGGGUUUUUUUGGUGGAAGAAAGUGUUGAAUGUUCUUUAAAUAAUGAGUUUACUUUAUUGCAAUCAAUAUACGUACACCCAAAUUUAGAUUACCUUCAUCCUUUCAAACCUUCAGAGCAUUGACUUGUGAUGCUCACAUUCUUUUGCAUCUCAUUGUUGAUUCGACUGUUAUUUGUUGGAUUUUUCUUUCAGCUCUUUUGAACAAAUAUUAUGUCCUAGCUCACCCCACCCCUCAUGAUCAAGCCUAAAAAGAUAUCUAGGUUUCCUUUCAUAAGCUCUACCAGCAUGCAAUGAAAAGUUUGCAAUGGCAAGUUUGAUACAAAUGCUGACCUUUUGUUGCCACAAAUGCAAUUUAGAAUGUAGGCUGUUUCCAGAUAGCAAAACAUGUUAAUUAGCCUUUGGAUUAAUUGUAUCCUGUACUCUUUUGAACAGAAGUAUACAUACAUUGUUGCCAUUACAGUUAAGGAUAAAGGUAACAUUUUAAGCAUUGUGACUAUAUGUGUUUGGAAUUAUCCUUUUAGAGGAAAAUAUUUUGCACAUCACUAGUGCUCGAGAGAGAGAAAAUACAUCUAUGUGCCACUGUUUCCUUGUUCAGGCUGGCAAAUCAAUCUGAUUGGGUUUAUCGAAAAUACAUAAUUUUCUCUUAUGUGUGACUAACAAAAGUGCUCAGCUUCCUCUGUGUUAGACCUUAUUCAUUGAUGCUCUUUUCUUUCUAACCCCCUGCUCCUUACUGCAUUUUCUUCACCUCAGCACCUGUUCAAUCUCUACUAGCUUUGACUGAGAAUAGAAACCCUCUAUAACCUCCAUACAGAUACUGCUCCUUUUCCUCUCCACCACCACUGUUUCUUGCUGUUCAUGGUGCUUCCAGACAGUGCCAAAACCCAUGACGUGGGUUCCUAUCCCCAUUUCCCCACCCAAACCCUGGGCUUUCCGGGGCAUGAAGCCACCCCCAAGCACCAAAUUUAGCCCCAAAAACUUACUUAAAAGGUCCCUGGCUACCAUAAAGUUUUGGAAAAUGGCAAUCAUUUGAACAUUAUAACCUUUUAGAAAAGGUUGGUCUUUCAGAAAAGAACCAAAAGCCUGUUCUAGUAGAAUCUUCUCGAGUGGUAUACAACCAAAUGUAAUUUACAAGGUAAUUGGCUUCAGCUGUUAGACUGAACCUGUUGUCUCUGAUCUAUUAGGAAAACAGAGAAUAUGCCAAUGCACAAAAUAGCAGAGUUUCAUAAGUGUUUUUCAGAUCUCAAAAUAUAUCUACUCUCCCAUGAAACAACUAGUUUUAUAUCAUGCACUCAAGAGACAAAAAAUGAAGUAGGCUUUGGUGAAAUAACAUUUGGUUUACUCACAACUUCAUGUGUUCAGCAUAACACAGGUACAUAGCUUAUCAGUUCAGUUUCAAAUAUGUUUGAGAGAAUGACAAAGGGCAUCUUUCUUACAAUAACAGCAGACAAGUGUUGGUCUGAGCAGUCAAAAAUCUAAGAAGAAUCUAAAAUGGAGUCUGAGGUCUGAGCAGUCUCAGAUCAGAUAAUGUAUUCUGCAGCCCCGCCCACAACCUUUCAGGAAACCUAGAACAAAAGAAGCUGCAUACCAGAACAUACAUACAAAACAGUAAGCAAACAGAAUAAUAGAUUAACAAAUUACUAGAGGAGGCUUGAAUUGAAUUGAAGGUUGUAAUUUCCAACAUAAAAGUUCUCCUCGCAUCCACCUUGCAUGAAGAAAUAACUCCUGAGUAGAUGGAAAGGAUGAGGAGGAAAACUUCUCCUGCCUCCCCAAUCUCCUCACAUGUAAUUUACUCAUGCCAGGAGGACAUGAGGAGAACCUUUAUGGUGGCCAGAGACUUUUUAGCAAGUUCUUGGGGCUAAAUUUGGUGCUUGGUGGGAGGGAUGGGCGCCAUCCCACUCCUCUGGGCUUUUCAAGGCCUGAAGAAGCAAGAUGACUGAGAAGACUCACAGCGUGUCCCGGGAGUGAGUCCUCACAGGCCCAAUACCCCAUUUUCUGGAUGGCCCGGAUCUAAUGAUAUAUCUAAUUAAUUCGGAACAAAGCAAGGAAACCAAGGCAUUGUUUGGAUGCCUUCAUUAAGAACCAAGAUAGGUCCUGCUUUUUGGGUCUGUCUGGAUGGGCCCUAAGUUACCACACACCUCAUAACCAUUCAGCUCCCUCUCCCACUUCCUAUUCUUAUCAGACACCAUAAGUUUCUCUCCUAUAAUGCAUUAGAGUUGUUACAAUUCUAAUUCCCCAAAUCCAAAUAGCCACAUUUGCAUAUUACUCUAAUUAUUGUAUCAUGCAAAUUAUUUUGUGAGUAAUGAAAUAUUUUGUUUUACAGAUAGGAAGCAGUAUGUUGGCUUUUUAAGAUGCUUUCAAUAUAAUGGAAUAAUGCACAACUUUGUGACUCAAAGUGUUUUGUGCAUCCCCAUAGCCCCCAUUAUUUAGCACUAUUAAUUUUUUUCUCCUGGUAGGUCUCUUCUGCUUUUAAGAACUGCAAAUUUUCAAUAAGUAUAGCUUCUUAGACAUGAGGAUUUUACAUAGAAGAGAGAAUUGUAUACCUAAUUUAAAAGAAAGAAAAUUGUCAGAACAGAGAGCCAUAGCUUUUCAGUACACAAAAAGAAUAUAUGUACAGCUCAAAAAAAAAAUAACUGGGAAAAAUGCAUUAAGAGCUACUCACAUGAUACUAAGUUCAGAGUAUAAAAUUACCCAUUAUACAAAAAAGUGCUUUGGAUACUCAAAAACCCUUUUUAGAUGACAGUGAUUACUGUUAUAAAUGUUAUUGCAUAAUAAUGAUGAUGAUGAUGAUGAUGAUGAUGAUGAUGAUGAUGAUGCCCUGGCAGAAUAUGUAAAGCAAAGUGAAGAACCUGCUUUGAUUGAAGUCAAAAAUCAGAAACUCCUCAAAGCACAGCAGACAAAAAAAACAGUACAAGAAAA
Long non-coding RNA from Anolis carolinensis (green anole), 4312 nucleotides. RefSeq lists it as uncharacterized. The record is from RefSeq and is a predicted model, not a curated record. The transcript is spliced from 2 exons. NCBI's taxonomy places the organism in Eukaryota, Metazoa, Chordata, Lepidosauria, Squamata, Anolidae.